AGUCUGGUUUAGCAUGAUCGGAAAAUAACGUUAAUUAAGUUUUAAUUUAAGGUAAAAUGAAAAAGAAUUAAAACAGAGUUAUAAUAGUAACCGUGAGCCUACUAAUUAGCAAAUACGAUUUUCUCUCCAUUAUAUAAACCAUUUGCCUUUGUUUCAAUGAAAUAAGUAACCACUGCUUGAUCUCAUUCCCUAUCCUCCAAAUUACAAAUCUGUCAUCAUCACCUUCUCGUUGUCGAUGGAGCCAAUGCAAUCUCCG
RNAcentral lists this long non-coding RNA (256 nucleotides) under Brassica napus (rape). RNAcentral describes it as "long non-coding RNA (BNAP_LNC009185)". Lineage: Eukaryota; Viridiplantae; Streptophyta; Magnoliopsida; Brassicales; Brassicaceae. The record is from RNAcentral.